CGGGUUGUUAAAGCACUUUCAGUCGUGAGGAAGGUAGUGUAGUUAAUAGCUGCAUUAUUUGACGUUAGCGACAGAAGAAGCACCGGCUAACUCCGUGCCAGCAGCCGCGGUAAUACGGAGGGUGCGAGCGUUAAUCGGAAUUACUGGGCGUAAAGACGCAUGCAGGUGGUUUGUUUAAGUCAGAUGUGAAAGACCCGGGGCGUCAACCUCGGAAUAGCAUUUGAAACUAGGCAGACUAGAGUACUGUAGAGGGGGGUAGGAAUUUCAGGUGUAGCGGUGAAAUGCGUAGAGAUCUGAAGGAAUACCGGUGGCGAAGGCGGCCCCCUCGGACAGAUACUGACACUCAGAUGCGAAAGCGUGGGGAGCAAACAGGAUUAGAUACCCUGGUAG
RNAcentral lists this ribosomal RNA (390 nucleotides) under uncultured bacterium. Its description in RNAcentral is "bacterial SSU rRNA". It matches the Rfam family "Bacterial small subunit ribosomal RNA", at positions 419 to 793 of the family's 1533-position model. The record is from RNAcentral.